Molecule: ribosomal RNA, 489 nt
Filed under: uncultured bacterium
Lineage: Bacteria
Description: bacterial SSU rRNA
Rfam family: Bacterial small subunit ribosomal RNA
Source: RNAcentral
GAUGAACGCUAGCGGCAGGCCUAACACAUGCAAGUCGAGGGGCAUCGCGGUGCAGCAAUGCACUGGCGGCGACCGGCGUACGGGUGCGUAACGCGUAUGCAACCUGCCCCGCACCGGGGGAUAGCCCGCCGAAAGGCGGAUUAAUACCCCAUGGUCCCGGGGGCCCGCAUGGGCAUCCGGGUAAAGCCUUGGCGGUGCGGGAUGGGCAUGCGUGCCAUUAGCUGGCUGGUGGGGUAACGGCCCGACCAGGGCAACGAUGGCUAGGGGGUCUGAGAGGAUGGUCCCCCACACUGGUACUGAGACACGGACCAGACUCCUACGGGAGGCAGCAGUGAGGAAUAUUGGUCAAUGGGCGGAAGCCUGAACCAGCCAUGCCGCGUGCGGGAUGGAAGGCCCUACGGGUUGUAAACCGCUUUUCCCCGGGAAGAAUAACCCCGAUGAGUCGGGUGAUGCCGGUACCGGGGGAAUAAGGGAUCGGCUAACUCCGUG